Molecule: long non-coding RNA, 281 nt
Filed under: Dromaius novaehollandiae (emu)
Lineage: Eukaryota; Metazoa; Chordata; Aves; Casuariiformes; Dromaiidae
Description: lncRNA (ENSDNVG00000012440.1)
Source: RNAcentral
AUAAAUAAAACCGGUGUUUUACUUGACAGGUGUGAAGAAACAGUUUCUUUCAAAAAGCCUUCAGUCUAAAACUCUAAACAUAGCUGAUCAAGUGCUACUGUUUGAGGCUGUACCUAAAAUUAAUAUUCAAAUUAUGUACCUGCCAAUCUACCCUAUAACCUGCUCUGUUAUCCAGAUGUCCACAGAAAUGGGCAAAGGAGUACACCAAAUGGCCUCUUGAUUCACCAAAGCCACAUGCUCAAGCGAUUUAUAGUUACAUUCUGCCCUGAGAUGCACACAUC